RNAcentral lists this non-coding RNA (27 nucleotides) under Rattus norvegicus (Norway rat). Lineage: Eukaryota; Metazoa; Chordata; Mammalia; Rodentia; Muridae. The record is from RNAcentral.
UGGAGUCCUUUCACUGAAAACUGCUGC